UCUGGAGAUUGUAGUGGUGUCCAACACGGAACAUCCCAGAAGACUGCCUUGAAGAAAUCUGCUAUCCCCUCCUGUGACAUCUUUGUGAGGGGGCCUCACUGGCUCAUGCUCACGGAAGCUUACUACCAGGAUAUUGAUCCCCUGUCUGCGUGGCCCAGGGUCUUUAACACACAUCAAUAUUUCUUUUCUGAUGUGCUUCUUGGAAGUUUUGUCGUGAAGAACCAUUGUCCGUCCUUUAGUGGAAGUGUAACUUCCUACCAGCUUUCGAAGUCUUCACUUCAGAAGGAGCCAUCAUGUAGCAGCCUCCACCCUCAGGGUGCUUCUAUUGAGGAACCACCCAGUCAGACAUGUGGUAGCAGAGGGUGGCUCUUAUCAUCCACCAGAAUUUUAUUUAAAGUGCUAACGAUCAUCUAUGAAGGUCCCCAGAACAGUAUGUGGUUCUAGUGGAAAAAGUCUGGAUAACUUAAUAAAUUGGCUAUGUUUCAUCAACUAUAUCGAUUAUCUAUUUUGUUGUCUAUGUUGUUUAUUGUCAAAAAUGCAUAGAUGA
Ochotona curzoniae (black-lipped pika) is the source of this 547-nucleotide long non-coding RNA. RefSeq lists it as uncharacterized. The transcript is spliced from 4 exons. Lineage: Eukaryota; Metazoa; Chordata; Mammalia; Lagomorpha; Ochotonidae. The record is from RefSeq and is a predicted model, not a curated record.